Molecule: ribosomal RNA, 1248 nt
Filed under: metagenome
Description: bacterial LSU rRNA
Rfam family: Bacterial large subunit ribosomal RNA
Source: RNAcentral
CUCAACGACCGUACCGCAAACCGACACUGGUGCGCGAGAUGAGUAUUCUAAGGCGCUUGAGAGAACUCAGGAGAAGGAACUCGGCAAAUUGACACCGUAACUUCGGAAGAAGGUGUGCCCUAUUAGUGUGUAGUGAACAACGAAGCAUGAAUGGGUUGCAAAAAAUCGGUGGCUGCGACUGUUUAUUAAAAACACAGCACUCUGCAAACACGAAAGUGGACGUAUAGGGUGUGACGCCUGCCCGGUGCUGGAAGAUUAAAUGAUGGGGUGCAAGCUCUUGAUUGAAGUCCCAGUAAACGGCGGCCGUAACGAUAACGGUCCUAAGGUAGCGAAAUUCCUUGUCGGGUAAGUUCCGACCUGCACGAAUGGCGUAACGAUGGCCACACUGUCUCCUCCUGAGACUCAGCGAAGUUGAAAUGUUUGUGAUGAUGCAAUCUCCCCGCGGAAAGACGGAAAGACCCCAUGAACCUUUACUGUAGCUUUGUAUUGGACUUUGAACAGAUCUGUGUAGGAUAGGUGGGAGGCUUUGAAGCAGGGUCGCUAGAUCUUGUGGAGCCAACGUUGAAAUACCACCCUGGUGUGUUUGAGGUUCUAACCUAGGUCCAUUAUCUGGAUCGGGGACAGUGCAUGGUAGGCAGUUUGACUGGGGCGGUCUCCUCCCAAAGCGUAACGGAGGAGUUCGAAGGUACGCUAGUUACGGUCGGACAUCGUGACGAUAGUGCAAUGGCAUAAGCGUGCUUAACUGCGAGACUGACAAGUCGAGCAGAUGCGAAAGCAGGACAUAGUGAUCCGGUGGUUCUGUAUGGAAGGGCCAUCGCUCAACGGAUAAAAGGUACUCUGGGGAUAACAGGUUGAUACCGCCCAAGAGUUCAUAUCGACGGCGGUGUUUGGCACCUCGAUGUCGGCUCAUCUCAUCCUGGGGCUGUAGCCGGUCCCAAGGGUAUGGCUGUUCGCCAUUUAAAGAGGUACAUGAGCUGGGUUUAAAACGUCGUGAGACAGUUUGGUCCCUAUCUUCCGUGGGCGCUGCAGAUUUGAGGAAGCCUGCUCCUAGUACGAGAGGACCGGAGUGGACACACCUCUGGUGUAUCGGUUGUCACGCCAGUGGCAUUGCCGAGUAGCUAAGUGUGGAAGAGAUAACCGCUGAAAGCAUCUAAGCGGGAAACUCGUUUCAAGAUGAGAUCUGCCGGGGCCUUGAGCCCCCUGAAGAGUCGUUCAAGACCAGGACGUUGAUAGGUCAGGUGUGGAAGC